AUUAAACGCUGGCGGCAUGCCUUACACAUGCAAGUCGAACGGCAGCACGGGGGCAACCCUGGUGGCGAGUGGCGGACGGGUGAGUAACACAUCGGAACGUGCCCUGGAGUGGGGGAUAACGCAGCGAAAGCUACGCUAAUACCGCAUAUUCUGUGAGCAGGAAAGCAGGGGGAUCGCAAGACCUUGCGCUUUGGGAGCGGCCGAUGUCGGAUUAGCUAGUUGGUGGGGUAAAGGCUUACCAAGGCGACGAUCCGUAGCGGGUCUGAGAGGAUGAUCCGCCACACUGGGACUGAGACACGGCCCAGACUCCUACGGGAGGCAGCAGUGGGGAAUUUUGGACAAUGGGCGGAAGCCUGAUCCAGCCAUGCCGCGUGAGUGAAGAAGGCCUCGG
This 391-nucleotide ribosomal RNA is filed under the name uncultured bacterium. Its description in RNAcentral is "bacterial SSU rRNA". It matches the Rfam family "Bacterial small subunit ribosomal RNA", at positions 29 to 420 of the family's 1533-position model. The record is from RNAcentral.